This 415-nucleotide ribosomal RNA is filed under the name uncultured microorganism. Its description in RNAcentral is "bacterial SSU rRNA". It matches the Rfam family "Archaeal small subunit ribosomal RNA", at positions 330 to 745 of the family's 1478-position model. The record is from RNAcentral.
GUGCACCAGGCGAGAAUCCUUCGCAAUGCGGGAAACCGCGACGAGGGGACUCCCAGUGCCUACGCUCAGCGUAGGCUGUUCCCGAGCCUAGAAAGCUCGGGGAGUAAGGGCUGGGUAAGACGGGUGCCAGCCGCCGCGGUAAUACCCGCAGCCCGAGUGGUGGCCACUAUUAUUGGGCCUAAAGCGUCCGUAGCCGGCCCGGUAAAUGCCUGGGUAAAUCGUGAGGCCUAACCUCACGAAUUCCGGGUAGACUGCCGGGCUAGGGGACCGGAGGAGGGAGAGGGGUACUCCAGGGGUAGGGGUGAAAUCCUGUAAUCCCUGGAGGACCACCGGUGGCGAAGGCGCUCUCCUAGGACGGGUCCGACGGUGAGGGACGAAAGCCAGGGGAGCGAACCGGAUUAGAUACCCGCGUAGU